This is a long non-coding RNA of Canis lupus familiaris (dog), 1423 nucleotides long. RefSeq lists it as uncharacterized. NCBI's taxonomy places the organism in Eukaryota, Metazoa, Chordata, Mammalia, Carnivora, Canidae. The transcript has 4 exons. The record is from RefSeq and is a predicted model, not a curated record.
GUAAUCAUAACCGUUUCCAUAGAAAAGCCUCCUAAACUGGAUGUGUCACAGCUCUGAGCAGGGACAGUUACAGUGGGGAGGCUGAUGUUGGAUCCAGACUCAGCUGGAGCAGGACCAUCCUGGAGAGCAGAAAGAAGGUGAGGCACAGGAAAUCUACCCAAGUAAACUUUCAUAAGUGUCAUUCAAACAAUGAAGAUGGAGAACUGAUUCAAACAAGAGCAGAAAACUGGGAAUAUUGGUGCUGGUUCAAGGUUGAGAGGCUGCAGGUAGUACAGAAUUUGCUCAGAAUUCAGAGGCAACACAAAUCGAAUGUGAAUCUUACUUCUGUCACCUGUGAGCUGAGUAAUCUUGAGCAGAACAGACCUUCACUGGACCCCAAUCUCUUUACCUGAGAAAUGGAAAUAAGAGUAAUGAUCUUGCUGGAGCCCUUUGUCAAGCUGCGUGGACCCAUGCCCCCUCACUCUCCAGCACCAUGCAGACCAGUACCUGUAAGAUGGCAGCUCAGAAGUAGGCAGCCAGCCGCCCCCAAGCAAGCAGCACCACAGCGUCAUGCAUACCUGCCCAACCUGCAUGGUUGUUUAUGCUCCACCCUUAAACUUCCCCAUGGCAGAUCCUGGAAACGAGACAGUGGACCAGAAGAGGGGACAUGACAUCCAUGUUGUGGGGAGUCAGGGCAGGCCUCCAAAGCAAGUCUCCUGCAGCCUGGGUGGGGGUGGGACAUUCAUCAAAAUCCAAAUAGUCCACACGGCUUCCAUCAUAACAAGCAAUCUCUGGAUGUAACACUUGAUUCUCAGAGGGAAAAAAGUAAACAAAUCACCCAGCUGCAAAACUAUACUUUUUAACAAAUUAUUAAGUAAACAAUUUGGAAGAGUUCUGCCAACCAUUCACUGGGAAAAAUGAAAAGGACUAGUAGGUUCCAGAUUUUUUUCCUUUUUAACAGCAGAGGACUCUUCUGUUUGUUUGUGUUAUGAAGAUGUAAUCGAGCUAGGUAUGACCAGAGCACAGGCUGUCGCUCUGUUUCUCUUUUUCUGGGUUUGAGGCCUUUACUCUGUGUCACGGCUAUUUCAUAUUUCUCGGCUUUAACUGAUGACAAAUGACCGAUCAAAACAACAUGCGCGUACGCAGACAAAACAUCAGAUGGGACUCAGCGGCUUUAAGGAGGACAACUGUCUAGAGGUCCAAAAAUAUAUCCCCUGUUUGUACAGGGCUUAGGAAGGGUUGGGAGUAGGACUUAGCUCAUGCAAAGCAAAAGCACUAAAAGUUGAUAGAUAGGGAGACCUGGGUGGCUCCAUGGUUGAGCGUCUGUCUUCAGCUUAGGUUGCGAUCCUGGGAUCCCGGGAUCGAGUCCCGCGUCAGAUUCCCUGCAUGGAGCCUGCUUCUCCCUCUGCCUAUGUCUCUGCCUCUCUCUCUGCAUCUAUCAUGA